UCGGGGGGUGGCACAGACCAGGGGGUAGCGACUGUUUACCAAAAACACAGGAGCGUGCGAAGGCGCAAGCCGCUGUAUACGCUCUGACGCCUGCCCGGUGCCGGAAGGUUAAGAGGAUCCGUCAGGCUUCGGCCGAAGCGGUGAAUUCAAGCCCCGGUAAACGGCGGUGGUAACUAUAACCAUCCUAAGGUAGCGAAAUUCCUUGUCGGGUAAGUUCCGACCUGCACGAAUGGCGUAACGACUUCCCCACUGUCUCGACCAGGAGCUCGGCGAAAUUGCAGUACGAGUAAAGAUGCUCGUUAAGCGCAGAAGGACGAAAAGACCCCGGGACCUUUACUAUACCUUGGUAUUGGCAUUCGGUGUGGAUUGUGUAGCAUAGGCGGAAGGCUUCGAAGCCACGGCGCCAGCCGCGGUGGAGCCGCAAGGUGAAAUACCGCUCUGUUCGCAUUGGAUGUCUAACCUCGACCAGUCAUCCUGGUCAGGGACAGUGCCUGGCGGGUAGUUUAACUGGGGCGGUUGCCUCCCAAAGAGUAACGGAGGCGCUCAAAGGUUCCCUCAGCCCGGUUGGCAAUCGGGUGGCGAGUGUAAGUGCACAAGGGAGCUUGACUGCGAGACUGACGGGUCGAGCAGGGACGAAAGUCGGAACUAGUGAUCCGGUGCCGGUGUACGGACGCGGCAUCGCUCAACGGAUAAAAGGUACCCCGGGGAUAACAGGCUGAUCAUUCCCAAGAGUCCAUAUCGACGGGAUGGUUUGGCACCUCGAUGUCGGCUCGUCGCAUCCUGGGGCUGGAGCAGGUCCCAAGGGUUCGGCUGUUCGCCGAUUAAAGCGGCACGCGAGCUGGGUUCAGAACGUCGUGAGACAGUUUGGUCUCUAUCCUCUGCGCUCGUCGGAAUGUUGAGGAGGCCUGCCCAUAGUACGAGAGGACCUGGGUGGACGAACCUCUGGUAUGCCGGUUGUCACGCCAGUGGCACGGCCGGUUGGCUACGUUCGGAAGGGAUAACCGCUGAAAGCAUCUAAGCGGGAAGCCUGCUCCAAGAUAAGCAUUCCAUAGGACUACGGGUCCUUGAAGUCCCCAUGCAGAACACGUGGUUGAUAGGCCGGACGUGGAAGCCCCGCGAGGGGUGGAGCCGACCGGUACUAACGGACGAAAGGCAACACAAC
This 1162-nucleotide ribosomal RNA is filed under the name human gut metagenome. RNAcentral describes it as "bacterial LSU rRNA". It matches the Rfam family "Bacterial large subunit ribosomal RNA", at positions 1769 to 2925 of the family's 2925-position model. The record is from RNAcentral.